GACGAACCGUGCGAACGUUAUUCGGAAUCACUGGGCUUAAAGGGCGCGUAGACGGAGGACCGCGUCGAGUGCUGAAAGCCCCCGGCUCAACCGGGGAACUGGCCUCGAGACGGGUCCUCUCGAGUGGAGGAGGGGGACCUGGAACGUCCGGUGGAGCGGUGAAAUGCGUUGAGAUCGGACGGAACGCCGACGGCGAAAGCAAGGUCCUGGACUCUCACUGACGUUGAGGCGCGAAAGCCAGGGGAGCGAACGGG
This 254-nucleotide ribosomal RNA is filed under the name uncultured bacterium. RNAcentral's name for it is "partial 16S ribosomal RNA". It matches the Rfam family "Bacterial small subunit ribosomal RNA", at positions 524 to 776 of the family's 1533-position model. The record is from RNAcentral.